Camelus dromedarius (Arabian camel) is the source of this 553-nucleotide long non-coding RNA. RefSeq lists it as uncharacterized. The record is from RefSeq and is a predicted model, not a curated record. The transcript is spliced from 2 exons. Lineage: Eukaryota; Metazoa; Chordata; Mammalia; Artiodactyla; Camelidae.
CGCCCCUGUGGGAGGGGGUGUGGACUUCCCUGCAUGCUUUUCUUUUUUUCGCCCCUUUUCCUUUUCUUCUUCUAAUGAACUGUUUGUUUUAGCUCUUGUUUUCCCCUUCCAAAUUAUAAGUGACAUAUAUUAUUGCAGAAGAUUUGGAACAUACAGAAAAGUAUAAAGUUUCCUAUCGGACUUAAAAGACAAAUACUGAAAAUGGAAUACAAUACACAGGAUACACAGCAGUGCAUAUUCAAGAAUAGUGGAAUAACCUGGGGUCAUCUCCUGUUGUCCAGGCAAGCCCUACUGUCCCCACCUGUCCCAUCUGGAGAAGGGAGCUAACAGACAGCCGAAUAUACUGGUACUGCAACUCAAGAUUGUGGGAACAGGAGUUCUGACUCAGCACAAACCUGGUUGUAUAACCUUGACAAUGUUACUCACAAUUCCCUGCUUCAGUUGCUUUGGUUAUAAAAUUAAGCUAAUGGUAUGGACCUAUUUACCAGAAAUAUCAUGAGAUUUAAUAAUUGUAAAGUGCUCUGUAAAUAAAAAUUGUUGUGCAAUUGUUAAA